Molecule: ribosomal RNA, 465 nt
Filed under: uncultured Klebsiella sp.
Lineage: Bacteria; Pseudomonadati; Pseudomonadota; Gammaproteobacteria; Enterobacterales; Enterobacteriaceae
Description: bacterial SSU rRNA
Rfam family: Bacterial small subunit ribosomal RNA
Source: RNAcentral
CCUACGGGUGGCUGCAGUGGGGAAUAUAGCACAAUGGGCGCAAGCCUGAUGCAGCCAUGCCGCGUGUGUGAAGAAGGCCUUCGGGUCGUAAAGCACUUUCAGCGGGGAGGAAGGCGUUAAGGUUAAUAACCUUGUCGAUUGACGUUACCCGCAGAAGAAGCACCGGCUAACUCCGUGCCAGCAGCCGCGGUAAUACGGAGGGUGCAAGCGUUAAUCGGAAUUACUGGGCGUAAAGCGCACGCAGGCGGUCUGUCAAGUCGGAUGUGAAAUCCCCGGGCUCAACCUGGGAACUGCAUUCGAAGCUGGCAGGCUAGAGUCUUGUAGAGGGGGGUAGAAUUCCAGGUGUAGCGGUGAAAUGCGUAGAGAUCUGGAGGAAUACCGGUGGCGAAGGCGGCCCCCUGGACAAAGACUGACGCUCAGGUGCGAAAGCGUGGGGAGCAAACAGGAUUAGAUACCCUAGUAGUC